Erinaceus europaeus (western European hedgehog) is the source of this 382-nucleotide long non-coding RNA. RefSeq lists it as uncharacterized. The transcript is spliced from 3 exons. NCBI's taxonomy places the organism in Eukaryota, Metazoa, Chordata, Mammalia, Eulipotyphla, Erinaceidae. The record is from RefSeq and is a predicted model, not a curated record.
CUUGAAAGGACUGACUAGGACUGAGAGGGCCCCUGAAGUUUGGCUACUUCUCUGAAAGAAAUGGUGAACCUUUUGUGUGAACAACAGCAGAAAAUAUUGGUCAAGGAAAAGCCUAGAGGGUCAAGACUUUAUUGCUGUACUGUGGGGAUGGUCCUGUGCUGAGUUGGUGAAAUCAAAUAUGAUCGUGAUGGCUGCUUCUUUGGAGAAAACCAUCUGGGUGCCUAUUAGAACAAAGAAUUAGACAUGGUCUCUAGUCAAAUGAAUCUAGAAUGGAAAGUUACAGAGGUCACCAUGUAGAUCACCUGAGCUUGUCCCUCAGUGUCCAGAUCCCACUAUGCAAUCAUUUGUCUCAGAGCUGCAGAUCUUUUAAUAUUCUCACAUA